AUUGAACGCUGGCGGCAGGCCUAACACAUGCAAGUCGAGCGGAGCGGCGGACGGGUGAGUAAUGCCUAGGAAUCUGACUGGUCGUGGGGGAUAACGUCAGGAAACGGGCGCUAAUACCGCAUACUAUCAGAUGAGUCUAGGUGGGAUUAGCUAGUUGGUGGGUUAAAGGCCUACCAAGGCGACGAUCCGUAACUGGACUGAGAGGAUGAUCAGUCACACUGGAACGGAUACAGGGUCCAGAGUACUACGGGAGGCAGCAGUGGGGAAUGGGGGACAAUGGUCGAAAGCAUGAUACAGCCAUGCCGCGUGUGUGAAGAAGGUCCUCGGAUUGGAAAGCACUUUAAGUUGGGAGGCGUUACCAAUAGAAUAAGCACCGGCUAACUUCGUGCCAGCAGCCGCGGUAAUAC
RNAcentral lists this ribosomal RNA (407 nucleotides) under uncultured bacterium. RNAcentral's name for it is "partial 16S ribosomal RNA". It matches the Rfam family "Bacterial small subunit ribosomal RNA", at positions 30 to 526 of the family's 1533-position model. The record is from RNAcentral.